Crocodylus porosus (Australian saltwater crocodile) is the source of this 116-nucleotide small nuclear RNA. Its record names the gene U2. It matches the Rfam family "U2 spliceosomal RNA". From Rfam's summary of the family: U2 is a small nuclear RNA (snRNA) component of the spliceosome (involved in pre-mRNA splicing). Complementary binding between U2 snRNA (in an area lying towards the 5' end but 3' to hairpin I) and the branchpoint sequence (BPS) of the intron results the bulging out of an unpaired adenosine, on the BPS, which initiates a nucleophilic attack at the intronic 5' splice site, thus starting the first of two transesterification reactions that mediate splicing. The record is from Ensembl. NCBI's taxonomy places the organism in Eukaryota, Metazoa, Chordata, Crocodylia, Crocodylidae.
UGUCCUCCAUCGGAGGUCUAUAUUGAGCAGAUUUUUGGUGUUUGGAGGUGGAACUGGAGCUUAUCCCAUCCCUUCCAUGCAUCGGCCUGGUAUUGCAGUGCUUCCAGGAGUGGUGC